UAACUUGUGAAAAUCAAACCCUGUCUAUAUCCUAGCCUUAUGUCAAAAGCUUGUGAUGUGUUAUGAUAGCUGUGCUUCAGAAGUACGAUAUUAAAACAAAAUUUUAAAUCUUUUAAGCCCAGUGUAAAAAGAUAUACUCUGAGUUAUAACUCAAAGGAACACCU
This 164-nucleotide small nucleolar RNA is filed under the name Choloepus hoffmanni (Hoffmann's two-fingered sloth). RNAcentral describes it as "Small Cajal body specific RNA 1 (ENSCHOG00000015841.1)". It matches the Rfam family "Small Cajal body specific RNA 1". From Rfam's summary of the family: scaRNAs are a specific class of small nuclear RNAs which localise to the Cajal bodies and guide the modification of RNA polymerase II transcribed spliceosomal RNAs U1, U2, U4, U5 and U12. The record is from RNAcentral. Lineage: Eukaryota; Metazoa; Chordata; Mammalia; Pilosa; Megalonychidae.